UACGAACCGUGCGAACGUUAUUCGGAAUCACUGGGCUUAAAGCGCGUGUAGGCGGGACGGCACGUCGGUUGCUGAAAUCCCCCGGCUUAACCGGGGAACUGGCGUCGAUACGACCGCCCUGGAGGGGCGUAGGGGGACCUGGAACUUCCGGUGGAGCGGUGAAAUGCGUUGAGAUCGGAAGGAACGCCCGUGGCGAAAGCGAGGUCCUGGACGGCUACUGACGCUGAGACGCGAAAGCCAGGGGAGCGAACGGG
RNAcentral lists this ribosomal RNA (254 nucleotides) under uncultured bacterium. Its description in RNAcentral is "partial 16S ribosomal RNA". It matches the Rfam family "Bacterial small subunit ribosomal RNA", at positions 524 to 776 of the family's 1533-position model. The record is from RNAcentral.